GUGAGUCAUCGAAUCUUUGAACGCACAUUGCGCCCAUUGGUAUUCCGAUGGGCAUGCCUGUUCGAGCGUCAUUAUCCUCCCUCAAACCUCGUGUUUGGUGUUGGACCGCGUUGGUCGAGCGACCAACUGGUCUCAAAGACAAUGACGGCGUCCGUGGGACCCUCGGUGCAACGAGCUUUUAACGAGCACGCGUCGAGUUUCAAGGACCCUCCGGGCCGGUCUAGACCUCUAUCUUCUCAGGUUGACCUCGGAUCAGGUAGGAAUACCCGCUGAACUUAAGCAUAUCAAUAAGCGGAGGA
This 299-nucleotide unclassified non-coding RNA is filed under the name Chaetothyriales sp. Its description in RNAcentral is "partial contains 5.8S ribosomal RNA, internal transcribed spacer 2, and large subunit ribosomal RNA". The stretch from base 1 to 71 matches the Rfam family "5.8S ribosomal RNA", at positions 84 to 154 of the family's 154-position model. Lineage: Eukaryota; Fungi; Ascomycota; Eurotiomycetes; Chaetothyriales. The record is from RNAcentral.